This 253-nucleotide ribosomal RNA is filed under the name uncultured bacterium. Its description in RNAcentral is "partial 16S ribosomal RNA". It matches the Rfam family "Bacterial small subunit ribosomal RNA", at positions 524 to 776 of the family's 1533-position model. The record is from RNAcentral.
UACGGAGGGUGCAAGCGUUGCUCGGAAUUAUUGGGCGUAAAGCGCACGUAGGCGGUCUGUUAAGUCGGAUGUGAAAGCCCCGGGCUCAACUCGGGAAGUGCAUUCGAAACUGGCAGGCUUGAAUAUGGAAGAGGGUCGCGGAAUUCCCGGUGUAGAGGUGAAAUUCGUAGAUAUCGGGAGGAACACCAGUGGCGAAGGCGGCGACCUGGGCCAAUAUUGACGCUGAGGUGCGAAAGCGUGGGGAGCAAACAGG